RNAcentral lists this ribosomal RNA (558 nucleotides) under uncultured bacterium. RNAcentral's name for it is "bacterial SSU rRNA". It matches the Rfam family "Bacterial small subunit ribosomal RNA", at positions 470 to 1027 of the family's 1533-position model. The record is from RNAcentral.
UGACGGUAUCAUAUGAAUAAGCACCGGCUAACUCCGUGCCAGCAGCCGCGGUAAUACGGGGGGUGCAAGCGUUACUCGGAAUCACAGGGCGUAAAGAGCAUGUAGGCGGGUGAAUAAGUUGGAAGUGAAAUCCUAUAGCUUAACUAUAGAACUGCUUCCAAAACUGUUCACCUUGAGUAUGGGAGAGGUAGAUGGAAUUUCUGGUGUAGGGGUAAGAUCCGUAGAGAUCAGAAGGAAUACCGAUUGCGAAGGCGAUCUACUGGAACAUUACUGACGCUCAGAUGCGAAAGCGUGGGGAGCAAACAGGAUUAGAUACCCUGGUAGUCCACGCCCUAAACGAUGUACACUAGUUGUUGCUACACUAGAUAUGGCAGUAAUGCAGUUAACACUUUAAGUGUACCGCCUGGGGAGUACGGUCGCAAGAUUAAAACUCAAAGGAAUAGACGGGGACCCGCACAAGCGGUGGAGCAUGUGGUUUAAUUCGACGAUACGCGAAAAACCUUACCUGGCCUUGACAUAGUAGGAAUCUUUAAGAGAUUAGAGAGUGCUAGCUUGCUA